GACGAACGCUGGCGGCGGGCUUAACACAUGCAAGUCGAACGGAAAGGCCCUGCUUGUGUGUGGUGCUCGAGUGGCGAACGGGUGAGUAACACGUGAGUAACCUGCCCUUGACUUUGGGAUAACUUCAGGAAACUGGUGCUAAUACCUGAUAGGAGCUCCUGCUGCAGGGUGGGGGUCGGAAAGUUUCGGCGGUUGGGGAUGGACUCGCGGCUUAUCAGCUUGUUGGUGGGGUAGUGGCUUACCAAGGCUUUGACGGGUAGCCGGCCUGAGAGGGUGACCGGCCACAUUGGGACUGAGAUACGGCCCAGACUCGUACGGGGGGCAGCAGUGGGGAAUAUUGUCCAAUGGGCGGAAGCCUGAUGAAGCAACGCCGCGUGCGGGAUGACGGCCUUCGGGUUGUAAACCGCUUUCGCCUGUGACGAAGCGUGAGUGACGGUAAUGGGUAAAGAAGCACCGGCUAACUUCGUG
RNAcentral lists this ribosomal RNA (468 nucleotides) under uncultured bacterium. Its description in RNAcentral is "partial 16S ribosomal RNA". It matches the Rfam family "Bacterial small subunit ribosomal RNA", at positions 28 to 507 of the family's 1533-position model. The record is from RNAcentral.